Molecule: ribosomal RNA, 501 nt
Filed under: uncultured bacterium
Lineage: Bacteria
Description: partial 16S ribosomal RNA
Rfam family: Bacterial small subunit ribosomal RNA
Source: RNAcentral
AUUGAACGCUGGCGGCAGGCUUAACACAUGCAAGUCGAGCGGGGGAAGGUAGCUUGCUACCGGACCUAGCGGCGGACGGGUGAGUAAUGCUUAGGAAUCUGCCUACUAGUGGGGGACAACAUCUCGAAAGGGAUGCUAAUACCGCAGACGUUCUACGGGAGAAAGCGGGGGAUCCUCGGACCUUGCGCUAAUAGAUGAGCCUAAGGCGGAAUAGCUAGUUGGUGGGGUAAAGGCCUAACAAGGCGACGAUCUGUAGCGGGUCUGAGAGGAUGAUCCGCCACACGGGGACUGAGACACGGCCCAGACUCCUACGGGAGGCAGCAGUGGGGAAUAUUGGACAAUGGGGGGAACCCUGAUCCAGCCAUGCCGCGUGUGUGAAGAAGGCCUUAUGGUUGUAAAGCACUUUAAGCGAGGAGGAGGCUACUUUAGUUAAUACCUAGAGAUAGUGGACGUUACUCGCAGAAUAAGCACCGGCUAACUCUGUGCCAGCCGCCGCAGUAA